RNAcentral lists this ribosomal RNA (2900 nucleotides) under Streptococcus pneumoniae. Its description in RNAcentral is "bacterial LSU rRNA". It matches the Rfam family "Bacterial large subunit ribosomal RNA". The record is from RNAcentral. Lineage: Bacteria; Bacillati; Bacillota; Bacilli; Lactobacillales; Streptococcaceae.
UUAAGUUAAUAAGGGCGCACGGUGGAUGCCUUGGCACUAGGAGCCGACGAAGGACGUGACAAACGACGAUAUGCCUUGGGUAGCUGUAAGUAAGCGAUGAUCCAGGGAUUUCCGAAUGGGGGAACCCAACAGGUAAUACCUGUUACCUACAUCUGUUAAGGAUGUGAGGAGGAAGACGCAGUGAACUGAAACAUCUAAGUAGCUGCAGGAAGAGAAAGCAAAAGCGAUUGCCUUAGUAGCGGCGAGCGAAACGGCAGAAGGGCAAACCGAAGAGUUUACUCUUCGGGGUUGUAGGACUGCAAUGUGGACUCAAAGAUUAUAGAAGAAUGAUUUGGGAAGAUCAGCCAAAGAGAGUAAUAGCCUCGUAUUUAAAAUAGUCUUUGUACUUAGCAGUAUCCUGAGUACGGCGGGACACGUGAAAUCCCGUCGGAAUCUGGGAGGACCAUCUCCCAACCCUAAAUACUCCCUAGUGACCGAUAGUGAACCAGUACCGUGAGGGAAAGGUGAAAAGCACCCCGGGAGGGGAGUGAAAUAGAACCUGAAACCGUGUGCCUACAACAAGUUCGAGCCCGUUAAUGGGUGAGAGCGUGCCUUUUGUAGAAUGAACCGGCGAGUUACGUUAUGAUGCGAGGUUAAGUUGAAGAGACGGAGCCGUAGGGAAACCGAGUCUGAAUAGGGCGCCUUAGUAUCAUGACGUAGACCCGAAACCAUGUGACCUACCCAUGAGCAGGUUGAAGGUGCGGUAAGACGCACUGGAGGACCGAACCAGGGCACGUUGAAAAGUGCUUGGAUGACUUGUGGGUAGCGGAGAAAUUCCAAACGAACUUGGAGAUAGCUGGUUCUCUCCGAAAUAGCUUUAGGGCUAGCGUCGACAUUAGAGAUUCUUGGAGGUAGAGCACUGUUUGGGUGAGGGGUCCAUCCCGGAUUACCAAUCUCAGAUAAACUCCGAAUGCCAAUGAAUUAUGGUCGGCAGUCAGACUGCGAGUGCUAAGAUCCGUAGUCGAAAGGGAAACAGCCCAGACCACCAGCUAAGGUCCCAAAAUAAUUGUUAAGUGGAAAAGGAUGUGGGGUUGCACAGACAACUAGGAUGUUAGCUUAGAAGCAGCUAUUCAUUCAAAGAGUGCGUAAUAGCUCACUAGUCGAGUGACCCUGCGCCGAAAAUGUACCGGGGCUAAAACAAUUUACCGAAGCUGUGGAUACCUUUAUAGGUAUGGUAGGAGAGCGUUCUAUGUGUGAUGAAGGUAUACCGUGAGGAGUGCUGGAACGCAUAGAAGUGAGAAUGCCGGUAUGAGUAGCGAAAGACAGGUGAGAAUCCUGUCCACCGUAAGACUAAGGUUUCCAGGGGAAGGCUCGUCCGCCCUGGGUUAGUCGGGACCUAAGGAGAGACCGAAAGGUGUAUCCGAUGGACAACAGGUUGAUAUUCCUGUACUAGAGUAUGUAGUGAUGGAGGGACGCAGUAGGCUAACUAAAGCAGACGAUUGGAAGAGUCUGUCUAAGCAGUGAGGUGUGAAUUGAGUCAAAUGCUUAAUUCUAUAACAUUGAGCUGUGAUGGGGAGCGAAGUUUAGUAGCGAAGUUAGUGACGUCACACUGCCAAGAAAAGCUUCUAGCGUUUAAACAUACUCUACCCGUACCGCAAACCGACACAGGUAGUCGAGGCGAGUAGCCUCAGGUGAGCGAGAGAACUCUCGUUAAGGAACUCGGCAAAAUGACCCCGUAACUUCGGGAGAAGGGGUGCUGACUUAAAGUCAGCCGCAGUGAAUAGGCCCAAGCAACUGUUUAUCAAAAACACAGCUCUCUGCUAAAUCGUAAGAUGAUGUAUAGGGGGUGACGCCUGCCCGGUGCUGGAAGGUUAAGAGGAGUGCUUAGCGUAAGCGAAGGUAUGAAUUGAAGCCCCAGUAAACGGCGGCCGUAACUAUAACGGUCCUAAGGUAGCGAAAUUCCUUGUCGGGUAAGUUCCGACCCGCACGAAAGGCGUAAUGAUUUGGGCACUGUCUCAACGAGAGACUCGGUGAAAUUUUAGUACCUGUGAAGAUGCAGGUUACCCGCGACAGGACGGAAAGACCCCAUGGAGCUUUACUGCAGUUUGAUAUUGAGUGUCUGUACCACAUGUACAGGAUAGGUAGGAGUCUAAGAGAUCGGGACGCCAGUUUCGAAGGAGACGCUGUUGGGAUACUACCCUUGUGUUAUGGCCACUCUAACCCAGAUAGGUGAUCCCUAUCGGAGACAGUGUCUGACGGGCAGUUUGACUCGGGCGGUCGCCUCCUAAAAGGUAACGGAGGCGCCCAAAGGUUCCCUCAGAAUGGUUGGAAAUCAUUCGCAGAGUGUAAAGGUAUAAGGGAGCUUGACUGCGAGAGCUACAACUCGAGCAGGGACGAAAGUCGGGCUUAGUGAUCCGGUGGUUCCGUAUGGAAGGGCCAUCGCUCAACGGAUAAAAGCUACCCUGGGGAUAACAGGCUUAUCUCCCCCAAGAGUUCACAUCGACGGGGAGGUUUGGCACCUCGAUGUCGGCUCGUCGCAUCCUGGGGCUGUAGUCGGUCCCAAGGGUUGGGCUGUUCGCCCAUUAAAGCGGCACGCGAGCUGGGUUCAGAACGUCGUGAGACAGUUCGGUCCCUAUCCGUCGCGGGCGUAGGAAAUUUGAGAGGAUCUGCUCCUAGUACGAGAGGACCAGAGUGGACUUACCGCUGGUGUACCAGUUGUCUUGCCAAAGGCAUCGCUGGGUAGCUAUGUAGGGAAGGGAUAAACGCUGAAAGCAUCUAAGUGUGAAACCCACCUCAAGAUGAGAUUUCCCAUGAUUAUAUAUCAGUAAGAGCCCUGAGAGAUGAUCAGGUAGAUAGGUUAGAAGUGGAAGUGUGGCGACACAUGUAGCGGACUAAUACUAAUAGCUCGAGGACUUAUCCAA